ACCCCCGUGAGAAUGCCCCACAAUGUCCUAGAUGGAAGUGAGGAGCCGGUAUCAGGCACAAUCCUUUAGCCCACGACGCCUUGCUAAGCCACACCCCCAAGGGAAUUCAGCAGUGAUAGAUAUUAAGCCAUGAGUGAAAACUUGACUUAGUUAAUGUUUAUAGAGUCGGUAAAUUUCGUGCCAGCCACCGCGGUUAUACGAGAGACUCAAGUUGAUGACCUUCGGCGUAAAGAGUGGUUAAGGGAAUACUAUACUAAAGCUAAAUGACUUCAAAGCUGUUAUACGCACACGAAAGUACGAAGCCCAACUACGAAAGUGGCUUUAACCCUCUGACCCCACGAAAGCUAGGAUACAAACUGGGAUUAGAUACCCCACUAUGCCUAGCCCUAAACAUCGAUAAUAAUUUACUUCCUUUAUCCGCCUGGGGACUACGAGCAUCAGCUUAAAACCCAAAGGACUUGGCGGUGCUUUAGAUCCACCUAGAGGAGCCUGUUCUAGAACCGAUAAUCCCCGUUAAACCUCACCUUUCCUUGUCUUAUCCGCCUAUAUACCGCCGUCGUCAGCUUACUCUGUGAAGAACAAGCAGUAAGCACAAUUGGUACAACCCAAAACGCCAGGUCGAGGUGUAGCGUAUGGAAAGGGAAGAAAUGGGCUACAUUCAAUAAUUAUAAUGAAUACGAAUGAUACACUGAAAAAAUAUCUGAAGGAGGAUUUAGUAGUAAGCAGAGAAUAGAGUGCUCUCCUGAAUUUGGCCCUGAAGCGCGUACACACCGCCCGUCACUCUCCCCGAGCUAAAAUUUAUAUAUUACUAAUCAACCAUAACUGCAAAGGGGAGGCAAGUCGUAACAUGGUAAGCGUACCGGAAGGUGCGCUUGGAAAAACCU
RNAcentral lists this non-coding RNA (884 nucleotides) under Coris dorsomacula (pale-barred coris). RNAcentral's name for it is "partial 12S rRNA". It matches the Rfam family "Bacterial small subunit ribosomal RNA". Lineage: Eukaryota; Metazoa; Chordata; Actinopteri; Labriformes; Labridae. The record is from RNAcentral.